GCCCACAGGGAAGGCCUGUCGUGUCAUGAUGCUGCCUCUCAGCACCAUCGAGGGCAAGGACAUCCCCACCGAGGAGGUGAAGACCAAGCCGCCUGAGAAAGGAGCCCUGCUCUCUGCGACCCCCGAGGAGCCGCCAAAGAAGCCCCCCAGAAUGAAGGGGAGGAUGUCAUUCCGAGUGCUGCCCAUCUGCCCGAUGCCAAGUGUCUGCUUCACCUAUUCCUUGGAGCAAGACGACUCUGACUUGGAUGCCCAAGUUCCUCCUGAACUUUCCAAGCCUGACUCGAAUUGCACCUUCAUUCCUCUGCCUGUUCUGGAGUUUCGUGAAGUCAAGGUGUGGGAGUGCCCCCUGUGCUGUCUCAGCUUUGUCUCUGCUUCCUAAUUCCUGAGAUCCCUCUGCUUCCUGCUCUUGACUGGGCACCCCCAAACCAUGCAUGCUGGGCUCCUGUGAUGUAAACCCCCAAAUACAGCUGCUUAAAUAAACGGAAGUAGAUGUCUC
This 496-nucleotide long non-coding RNA is filed under the name Sus scrofa (pig). RNAcentral describes it as "lncRNA (ENSSSCG00065077389.1)". Lineage: Eukaryota; Metazoa; Chordata; Mammalia; Artiodactyla; Suidae. The record is from RNAcentral.